Molecule: long non-coding RNA, 43433 nt
Filed under: Musa acuminata (dwarf banana)
Lineage: Eukaryota; Viridiplantae; Streptophyta; Magnoliopsida; Zingiberales; Musaceae
Description: long non-coding RNA (MACU_LNC003019)
Source: RNAcentral
UACAAGCAGCUUUGGGAGAACAAGCUGAAAUAACAAAGUAUAGUCAGCAAGAGUAUGAGAGGCUUCAAAACGUAUUGCUUCUUAUUCUGACUUUUGUCUAAAACUCAACUGAUUAACUUACUGAUAGUUAUGGAUCCUGUAUAACUUAUCAUAAUUUCCUUGAUUAGUAAGCAUAACUUUGUUUUCUAGAUGCCAUGUGGUUUUUUUAUCUUUAAAUGCAUUUGUAUUAUUUUCUAAGCUUUUUUUUUGUUUUGAAUUAUUAAAUUGUUUCCAUCCAUAAUUUAUAUCAAAUUAUACAUAUUGUAAGAUUUAUCUAAUCUUUGUCCAUGUUCUUUCAAUGCAAAGUUUUGAAUAUAAUGAUUGACCAUUCGUUGAAGAAUGGGGGUCAGAUUUGAUGAGCUUAGUCAGAUGACAAGGUAUCAAGGAUUCGAAAUAUAUGGAUCAGAGGAUUGGACGUGUAAAAAGAGAAAUGAAAACCUAAAUAUCUGAUAAAUCAGGAAAAAAUAGAUAAGUCUAAAAAUAGAAAAAUACUUUAGAAAUAGAAAUUCAUAAAAUUAGGAAAAGUACUUAAAAUUUAUCAUUACAAAUUCAGAAGAGAUAAUUACUGUUUUUUUUGCAAUGGAAGGACAAUUUUUUAAUGUAAUUUAUAUGACAAUUUUUUUCUCCUAAAAACCUUUUGUGCAUAUCUAGUUUACGAGAGAGCCACAUAACACGAGAUAGUGUUUUGGAAGGAUUUUUGUGCAUACACCUUCUUGGAGGGGUUGUUUUCUCAUGAGUACUGUUGGAACCCAGCUACUUGAUCCUUCAAUUUACAGGGUAUGAAAAAAUUCCUGUUAUCUCCUCUCCCAUUGCCUACAGAUGAAGAGCACAACUUACCUCUACAUCGAUGUUGAGGUGUCGUUGGUGGUGGAGAUGUGGAGUGCUUCAGUGACAUUAGAUAUUUUUGUUAUCUCCACUGUUCUUCCAUUUUUAUCUCUCCUCUUUUGCUUCUCUUUCUUUGAGUUUGGGGGAUAAGAAGGAUGGACAUUUGUCUUGAUUAGGGUGUUUAUGGAUAAGGAUAUUCCAGUUGGAGGGGGAAAAGAAGAUAAGGAAGGUUGGAUCUUAAUAUUUUUGUUCCAUAAGUUGUUGGUAGUUGAUGAUCCAAAUUUAUAUUGCAAUUAAUUGAAUUUUAAAACCCUGUUUUUAAGGCUAUUUGUUAAGAGGAAAAAGCAAGAAUCUUGCAUGCCUAUUUUUUAGUUAGGAUUUCUAAGGUUAUUCAUUAGUUAGAUUGUGACUUCUCAGUUUUAACUUUUUAAAUGCAUAUUGCACAUAGGGCAUGUGUGUUUGGGGUUAGGUAUGUGCAUUUUCUUUUGUAUCAAUAUUAUUAGUCAACAGUAAUUAAAGCUCUUUUAAUAUCUCUAAUAAUUCUUAAGGUCUUAUUCUACCUUUCAUCAUAACUCUAGUCCUAAUUGCCUCAUUUUAUCUAACUUGUGGAUCUAUGCACCUGCUUCAGUCAUGUUCGUGCUAUGCUAAAUGGUAUUAGUUGAUUUAUUCUUCAUUGAAAUUUGUGCCUUUGUGGUUCUUUAAAUAUGUAAAAUUUCUAUCUUAUUUUAUUUUCAUAUUAACUUUUCAUAAAUCUGUCUCAAAUCAUGAUACAUUGAGUGCACCAAUCCAUAAGUGAUAGGAAUCUGCCAUGUCAUAUACCACCAACACAGUCAAACAUCAACAUGUAUUUAAGAAAACACAAUCUAACACAUGAGAUUGUUGCUAAUGUGGGGAUUGAGAAAGAUCAAUGCAGGUGACCUUACCUUUGCAAGCAAAAAGUUUAGUUUUGUGACUUGAAUCCUUGACAUAGAUGACAUACCGAGAACACGAGAUUACUGCCAAUGCAGGGGUGGGUAUGGGGAGGGUCAAUGUAUGCAACCUGACCUCUAUAUUUAAAUAUAAAAGGUUAUUUUGAAGAUUUAAACCCUUUAACAUAUAGCUAAUCAAUAAUGCUCUCUUUAGUUAACAACUGGUAUAGGUACCAUACUGGUUGAUUCUUAAUAAGUUCAAUUAAGUUUUGGUUUAGGUACUGGUAUCAAUAUUUGAAUUCUUGAUCUUGUUUUUUGGCAAAAGAGAUUUCUUGAUCUUAACAUCCCUGUUUCAGAUACUAAAAUUUUGUACUUGUUAUUUCAAUACUGCUUGGUGUUUUGAUCGCUCUGCCUCUUUCCUAGACUUGCCAAGCACUGGAAUAUCCAUCUUUACACCAAUAUCUUUUAUUUUUAUGAUUUUUGUUGUUUUGGUUAGAUCCAUCACUGAAUAUAUUUUCUGUAUGUUUCUAUGUUUAGCUGCUAAAUGGCAUUCUAAUAAUUCCACUUCAUGCAUGCUAUACUAUGCAUAGGCUUAUUGCAUAGUUGUAUAUACCACACCAGAAAAAGGCUCGCAACAAUACCAUUUCGCAGAUUGGCAAUUCUUGAAUUUUACUUUCUGGUACUUAAUGAUUUUUGUGAAAAUAUCCUGUCUAUAAAUGAACUCUCAUUUAUAGGAGUCUCAUGCAUUAGGUGUAUUUAACAAGGUCUGCCAUACCGAAUCAUACCGCCUGGUACGGGCAGUAUGUACUGGUCCGAUAGGCUACCGGUAUGAGGACCGUCCACUACCGGACGGACCGUGCUACAGUGCUACAGUAUAUACUGUAGCAGUGCUAUAGUGCUACAGUGUACAAUGUAGCAAUGCUAUAGUGUUGGUGUACAGUUCGGUACACCCUAGUGUACCGCUCGGUAUGCUGGUACCGUACCAUACCGAGCCAAUCUCGAAACACCGGUACGGUACGAUAUUGCAUAUCUUGGUAUUUAAUUACUUUCAGUACACAUACAUUGCUACUAAUUGGUUAUGUUUGAGUGUCGUUGUUGCCAGAUAGUAAGAGAAUGCAAAAGAGAUAAAUCAUGCAUAAGUUUGCCCCAUUGGUUGGGUUGGUCAACAUUGGUUUGUAUUUGUUGCACUAGAAAGUUAUAUGCUUGUGUAGUGCCAUGCCAUAGAUGCCACUAUAUGACUUAGAUCAGUUUGUAGCCUAUACCGACUGGUAUUGCAUGGUAGAAAGUCAACACAGGUUUGUCAUUCCUUCUGGUCUUUGCACCAAUUAGCGUGCAUAUGAAUCCUAGUCUUUGUCUUUCGAACACUUCUAAUGAAUAAAUUAUAAUUAGAUGCAUUUUUGUCAAGUCCUAGUUAUGGUUCAAACUUCAAACAUCAAUUGAUCCUUGUAGGGUGUGAUAAUUGUUUAUAGCAAGAUUUGCCUUAUCGAUCUGAACUAAUGUAUUGGCCGAUCGAUGGUAUGGUAUGUACCGCUCCGUACCAACGUACUGUGUCAAUACGACAGAGCAUACCAAUAUCACAGAAAAAUGGCCAAAAAUAGCUCAAAAAAUUCUUGAAAAAUAGAGGAAAAGUUAUAUUAGGAUUUUUAAGUUGGAAAUAAAUAUAAUUUAAUAUAAUUUUAGCAAAAAUAAUCUAAAUUAGGAAAGAAUAGUGACCCAUAUCUUUUUCGAAGGGCUUUAAGGAAUAGCUUUGUGGUAUGUUCCGGAUUGUCCUUCCAUUGGUAUUGAAUUAUCUACAAAGAAAUGAUUUGAAUUGUAAGAUUAUUUGUUAAACAACUUAAACUUUAAGAUUCAAAUGAAUCAAGUAAUCGAUCGAUGGUAUACUUGGUUCUACCACCAAAAAGAACAACGGAACUCCACGGGUGAUGGAUCGAGGUCCUCGAUCUUAUGUAUCUGUAUAUCAAUUAUCAAUUUGAUAUGUUUGUUUGACCAAGUCCUGAAAAUAAUCUCAUGACAUAGUAUACUGAUACACCAUAUGUCAUUGGUGCAUCAAUGUAGUGAUGGUCGUAGUCUAAUUGUCGUGAACCACACAUGUCUGAGGCGGCUCUGAAGGUAAGUACGAUUGUGGCAUGUAUUGAUGCGGAGCAUAGAGAAUAUCGAAACUUCUACUUUUGCCACUGAUUUGUUGCAUCAUAAAAUUGAUCAUCGUACUAUUGCUAAAAAGGGAAUGAUCAACUAUCAUCGUAUUGUUGCUCGGAGAAGAAUGACCAACUAUCAUAUCGAGCUCCAUGAUCUGAAUCUUGGGUGGCAUACGUAAAGUAUUGCUUCUCAGUCCAUGCACUACCCUCAAACUAUGUAGAUGGGACAACCGACUCCCCGGUGUCAUCGCUAUCAUCAAUUGAGGCACUAUUGCCCACGUCAUUGCCAUGUCUCUAGGUUGAGUGGGUUGUUGAAUGCGGUUGAAAAGUUAUUUACAUACCUUUGAUUAGAGUUCUUCUAACUUAUGUGUUAAAACUCUCAAUUAGCCUCCUAAGCUUGAUCCAAUCCACAAAUCGUAACUUUAUGAAGUUUUAAGAGAGUGUAAAUGUGAGAAUGAGAAAGAAGUAAGAAAGAGAUUGAGAGAAUAUAAGAGUACGAGAGAGUGAAAAGAGGUGAAAGAGGUGAAAGAGUGGGGGAGGGUUUAAAAACCCUUUCAAAUGGAUCUAACCAUUGGAAAGGGUCAGAUCUGAGUCAUUUGUCAGUAAUGAUCGAAAUUCGAUCGUUCUCGAUUAGCACAGGUUAGUAACGUUUGGAUUUUAACCAUUAUAGAACGGUACAGUCUUGUAUGCGCUACAGAGCCUUUUAGUAUAUCCCACCUGGUACAGGGUGGUCGACAUACUGGUCCCCUAUCGGACCGGUAUGUACCACUCAUAUUAGUCGAUAUACCGCGGUACGACAGACCCUGGUUUAUAGUCUUAUAAACUUUAAUGUUAAUUCAGUAAUCUGCAAGAACUUAUGGUCUUUCAACUGUUUCUUUUCACCAAUCGGCUUGCUUACGAUUACAUUUUCUUUUUCCUUUAAACUCAUCCAAAAUGAACAAACAGACUAUGAGUAAGAUUAUCACCAAGUAGCAGUGUAGUUAUCUUAUGAACAUUUCUGGCUUUGAAACUUUUUUAGGAAUCCCUGUUGUGCUGACCUAUAAACUGUGAAUAAUGCCUUUCUGUUUGGGCAAACAAAUUAGUGAUGUGAAGUGCAUUUGCAGGUUGUCCUCCCAGUAGGUUAGUAUGAAAACAGAUGGGUGGUGAUACACCUUCAAGGCAUUCCUGAUGCCUUUUCUUUUUUACAAUAUUGUUCAUUUUCUACUUGGCGUUCCCAUUAUUUCUUGUAUGUAUUGUACCCGUGCAACUGUUGAUGUUUUGGUUUUUAUCUUUGUUCAACUGCUGAUGUUUUCGAGACUAUUUCUUUUUUAUAAAAUUGAACCACUCAUCUUAACUAAGUGCUCAUAUACUGUAGAUGCACCUGUCAAGUCACUCGAGUUAUCACUUGUAAACUAUUGAGUAUAUAUCCUUUCUCUGUGUCACGUUUAAAGCUUGAAUCACAUAGUGCUAGACUCAUACCAUAAGCCCUGUAUUGCAUGUGGACUGUUCAAAAUUGGCUGGUCUGCAUGUCAGUUUAUGUUUGGACUGAUAAAUAUCGGCAAAUACAUAUUCAACGAUCUUCGAACACUGGUUGCUUGCAUGUUUGUUUCCAUUGUAAUAUUCCUUACAUCUAAAAGUUAUUUUCCUUUCGAUCUCAUUCCACUUGAAAGAAUUGUGAGGUCUUAAACAUUUUUGACUUGUGAAAAUUUCAUUUUAUCAGGAAAAAGUUCUCUGUAGUAUUUGCUUUGAUGGAGAGAUAUGCAUGGUCCUCCUUCCUUGCCGGCACCGCACUCUCUGCAAGUAUGUUCCAUGAGCCAUUCUCUGUGACACAAAAUAUCUGUUUGGCUCUUGUUCUUUUGGAUAUCGACUUGAAUUUUGUUUGUAGGCCUUGCUCUGAGAGGUGCAAGAAGUGUCCUAUUUGCCGUGUCUCCAUCGAGGAGCGUAUGCCAGUAUAUUAUGUGUAGACCCUGACCAAGAUCUUAACAAGAAUGUGCAACUGUAUAGCUUUAUCAUCUGUUAGAAAGGUUUUGGUGUGUGUUCUGUUCUCACCCUCGUAUUGUACAUAACACGGACAUGAUCUGAUUACAACCUGUGUAAAGCUGUUUGUCCUGCAUCAAUUCUCUAUCCGCAGAAAAACAGGAAAAAAAGAAAACAGAAUCUCUUUUAUUUCUUGAUUGUCGGGUAUAUUUGUGAGAAAUUUAGAUUUACGCUUCCGUAUCUGUGAUGAUUGGUCCAACUCUGGUGCAAAUAAUAUUAGAGAUGUAAUCUGGAGAAUGGUAUGGUGGUUGGUUGCCCAAACAGAUGGUUCAGGCUGUGCCGGGCUGUAUUGCGCCGUGCCCCCAUUGUUAUUUAGGGUUUAGCCCAACGGGAUUCACUUGUUCAUGUGGUGAGAUUGUUUAGAACAUGCUCACCUUCUGAUAUAUGGUGGGAUUCACUUGUUCAUAUGGUGAGAUUGUUUCGGCCACUCAAAGUCUCUGAUAUGCGGACUAUGUCAGUCAAACUUACUAAGUAAGCAAGGGAAUGUUUCUUCACUUUACAAAGAAAACUACUAGUCUUUCAGAUGUGGCUUAGAUACGAAAAAUAUAAGAGCGACUGCAUCGAGCAUGCUCUGGCGAUAGUCUUGUUACUCUUGUAGGUGAUGUUUGUGAAAGAUACACCUUCAUUUUGUUGAAGAUUUGGUUCUCAAAAAAUCAAUGUCCAGUUUGUUGUAGAUAAGAGUAUCACCUUCAUUUUGUUGAAGAUUUGGUUCUCAAAAAUCAAUGUCCAGUUUGUUGUAGAUCGGGGAUCAUUUCUUUCAUAUCCCAUACAAAAAACAAUGAAAGUAAGCAAUGCAAACGCAACAGACAUUACACACCCACACCACCACCGCCACCACCACCGCCACCACCACCGGCGGACAAAAUGAUCGCUCCGACAAUCUUACGAGAGAAGCCACCACCGGAGGUGCUAACCAAGAUAGGCAUAGGCAUCAUCAUGAGCUACAGCCUGCCGCCCAACUAAGUCGGCUACCCCAGCGGCAUCUGAUAUGUACAUUCAUUGGAGACUGCACAUUAAUCUGAUACUGCUAUAGCUCUUCGAACACCAUUAGAUCCUGGAAGCAAAAGGAAGCAAUCAGUAGCAGAAAGCCAUGUAGAAUCCUGUGAACUUAAAAUGACAUCCAGUUCCAGUCAUGCACAUGACCAUGUGGACGGACACAAGGAGUUUAGCACUACCAACAAACAUAGAGAUCAGAUUUAGAGACAUUAAGGGUGUCUAUCACAAUCCAAUUUCUAAAGGAUAAUGUCUUCUGUUUAUAACCUUGUCCAACAUUGAGAAGAUUCCAAAUGGCUAUAAUUGCUCUUGAUGAUACAACAUAUAGCAAUAUCAAACAGAAAAGGUAUCGACCAUGUAAAGAGAUUAUGAAAAUGUAACACAAACCAAAAUUUCGGACAUUGAUAUCAAAAUUAUGCAUGACAUGUCAUAAAUAAAAUCCAUACAAAAUAGAAAGAUGUUUUCUGUUCUGUUAUAUAGAACUCAACGCAUGUGCGGUCCUUUUAGCAAAACUAUAUAGAACUCAACACAUGCGCCAUAAACGGUCCUUGUAGGGAAAUUAGAUCAUAUGAUAUUUUUUACUUCAAAGAAAAGAAGCAAAAAAUAUAUGAUUCAUUUCCCAGAACCACCUCUCUUUCCAUAGCCUCUACCACCGCUUCUGCCACCUCCCCUUGGAUGGCUGCCUCUUUUGUGGUAAAAAACCCUACCAUUAUCUGAUGUUGACUGGGCUUUCAAGUGGUCAGGCAUCGGGAGUAUCAUAUCCACACAUUUACAGAAGCUAAAAUCAUCACUAGUUCCAUCGGCCCGAACAAGGAAGAAACAUCGACUUUUAAAUGUUGGGUGGUUCCGCACCUGGAAUGCCUCAAUUCCUGCUCCAAUCUUCUUAGCAGGGUCAGGAUGCCCCUUCUUCAACAAGUCCAGCAGUACCAUGUGCUCAUACUGCAAAAGUAUAAGCAGUGUUUUAUAUUGAGAACAUCAAAUUUGUUACAAAUUUCUUUGGUGAUAGUUACAAAUUAACACUUUAUUUAAGAGUAUGAUCCAAUACUAAAAAUAAACAUGAUAAACAACGGAAAAUAACAAUCUUAUGCAACAUAUUAACUAGAAAUCAGAUCCAUACAAGAAGGAUUCAAAAUCAUUUUAAGAAUAACAUAUAGUCUUAAUCAAAUAAUAUUUACUCGAAAAAGCAAAUCAAUCAAUAAGCAAUAGAUAUAUAGGAAGAGAAAAACACUAACAAUGAGACAAUCCACAACGAUAUGAAAAAGGUUUGGAGGAUGGUAUAAACACUAAUGGCAAGUCAGCUGGUAAGGCCAAGAAACCAAAUUCUUCAAAACUAAUAAAAGAUCCAACUUAUCCAAGAUGAGAAACUGAUGUUACUGCAAGGUAAACAGUGCAUACGAUAGCUAAAUAUAAUAACAUAUUUUAUUCAUGACAUGCAUGAUUCCAAUAUUCAUUCUCACAUAUUUCUGUUUUUUCAUAGUCGAUUCACAAUAGAGUCACUACUAGUUUCCAUUUCAUAGAUACUGGCAUGAUUGCACAAAAGCACUGUAACCAAAUAAAUUUACGAUUUAUCUUGCAAUGUUGUGAACUUUUGUUUACUGGCAUUCAUAAUUUUCAUCAUUUCUACAAACAGAGUCAAAAAAAAUUUUGUUCCGAUUCACAGUCAAUAAAUUGAUCCGGAUCAAACAAUCUAUACUUUACUUGAGUAACCACUUUUGACCCCUGAUGGUUGGAGGACAACAACCAACAGUCACUUAGUCAAGAUCAAUUUCAUUUCAUUCUCUGCAAGUUUUUAGUACCUCUUUUAUGAACUUUGCUUCCACUAGUUAUUAGUCUUGCUCCUGUCGCAUUGUUCAAUAUUGGUUCCCAGGCCAAAAAAUGACGCAUUUUAGUUCGAUUUAUUCUCUGUAAUGUUUUUGUUGCAUCUUGUAAAUUGCUUGUAGAGUUGUAGUGCCUGCCAAGAUCGGCCAAAUUGCCACAAAAAUCUUAGUAUCUGCUGCCAGAUAGGUUUUCUUCCAUCCUAUGUACUGUCAGAACUUUACCUUUGCAUCAUGUUGUCCCCUCCAGUCAACCUUAUAGGCUAAGUUCACAAGGCUAGGAUCAGGAUGGGUCAUAGGAUUUGAUGUCAUGAUCCUGGCAAAAUGGACCAGACUGGGACUGGAAUUUUCAACAAUGACCAAUAAAUCAGCCAAGAUCAUACGAAACUCAAUCAACAUCAAUAAAACUAUUUGGAAAUUUUCUGGGAUCAGCAACAAGCUGGAUUAAAGCUAGGAUUGACUUGUAUUAAACUAGAAUCCAACCGAACAAUCAAUUUUGCAUCAGAAAUCAAUUGGCUCAGCUGCAACAAAUUCAAGAUUGUCUGAUUCUGAUAAUGACAACUGAGUCUGGGCAAUCCCUUCAAAUAUCAAGGGUUUAAAAGUCUGACUUGGUUGGUCCCUCCAGCGCUUAUAAUGUCAAAGUGAUGAUGACAACCAAGUCUUAACAAUCCCUUAAAUAUCAAGGGUUUGAAAGUCUAACUUAGUUGGUCGUUCCAGAAAUUAUAAUGUGAAAGUAAACAAAAUGUUAAAAAUACCAACCCUUCCUUAGUUGUUACUGUAUUUGAUAACUCAAGACAUGACACACCACAUCCAAUAUUCUCAAGAAUUUCAAAUAUUUAUAUGGAGUGACCAGAUGAUCCUUUUAGCCUGACCAGAAUUCUCUCUUGAACAUAAAAGCACAUGCAUAGAGCAAAAUCAUUUCAUAAUCCAUUCCAACAUGCUAAUAGAGGUCAUUUCCACUUCUUAGCUUGUAAAACUAUAAAAAGGAAUUGGGUUCUCCAAGGUCAACAUGAUCAGAUGAACAAUAUCAUGUUUUCAGUUGUUACAUUCACAAACAUUUAAUAGAGCCUCAAGGCACUGCCUUGAGAAGACCCAAAUGUGAUUACGAAUAAACAAGAAAAAACUUGAAAACCAAAUGAACAUACAUGUCUUCCUACAUAGGACUAUAUAAAAAUUCUACUUUUGUCUUCAGAAAUUUAUUAUUCCUUGGUUUAAUGGUGAACAAUCAAGAAGCUACAUAAGGAUGCAGCUUCUGCUUCCUUUUCAGAACAAAACAUAUAAAGGAAUUCAUAUAAAAUAUUACUUCCUUUUCUAAGGGUAAUAUACAACCAUUGAGAUCUAUAUGGAUCUUUUGUCAUCAUUGAGAUCUAUAAAAAGGCAUAUGUUUAGUUCAGUUCAGAGUACUUAAAUCUUUAUUUAUAGUUUCUAUUAAAAUCUUUUUAGGUCUUCCUCUACCUCUUCUUGUACUGCUAACAUUAAUCAUUUCAUCUCUUCUGACUACUACAUCCGAAGGUCUCCGAAGCAUAUGUUCAUACCAUCUUAAAAUAUUUUCUAUCACAUUAUCUUCUAUCGAAGAUAUCUAGUUAUUCAUAAAUAAUAAAAGUAUUUCUUUUCCUAUCUUUCCUAGUAGCUCCACACAUCUAUACAAAUAUUCUCAUCUCCGCAACACAAAAAAUUUGCAAAUGUUGUUUCUUGACUACCCAACACUCAGAUCCAUAAAGCAUCGUUGGUCUCACAGCUAUCUUAAAAUAAAUUAUCUUUUAAUUUCAAAGAUAUCCGAUGAUCACACAAGACUCCUAACGUCCCUUGCCAUUUGACCACCCUGUUUUUAUUAUAUGAAUAAUAUCUUUAUCGAUCUCUUCAUCUUAUUCAAUAAAUAAUCUAAAAUACCUAAAGCUUGUACUUAAAGGGACUUUUUGUCCAUCCAACUUAAUUAUAUUUUCUUAUCUAUUCUUAGAAUCACUAAAACUGCUUUUUAUAUAUUCAGUUUUAGUCCUACUUAAUCUAAAACCUUUAGUUUCUAAGGCUUAUUUUCAUAGCUCAGGUUUAUAAUUAAUUUUACUUAGGUUCUCAUCAACUAAGACAAUAUCAUAAUAAAAUAAUAUACACUAGGGAGGUUUCUAUCGUGUAAAUGACUAGUAAUUUCAUCCUCUAUCAAUGUGAAAAGGUAAGAAAUUAAUGUGGAUCAUUGAUAUAAUCCUAUGCUAAUAGGAAACUCACUAAACAUACUCCCUAUAAUUCUAACACUAGUAGUUAUAUUUUCUUAGGGUAAUAUAAGCUGAAAAUUUUCUUUCCGAACAAAACAAUAUGGCAAAUGCAAUUAGCAAAUUAGAUCAUUAGAAAGCUAGAAGUUGCAGACUCAAAGGUGUCAUCAGCAGAGAACAAUCUUUCAUUGCAUGUUGACUAUGCUCACAAGCUGAGAUUCAGAAACAUUUUCUCAAGAUUAAAAAUCUGAUCAUCUAAGAAUCCUUCUCCGACGCAAUUAAGAAAAAAAGAUUUAGACAAAUUCAACUAUAUAAAUUAUCUCCCCAUUGGUUUAAUAACAAAAAAAGACAUCUUAUAUUCUACCAACAAAAAGAAAGAAAAUUUGCUAUAAGAACAAAACGCCUCACCUUGUUGAUAUCCAGAUCGGGCGACCAGGAACGGAGAAGUUUCAAGAAGUACUCAAACAUCUCCACCGACGACUUAAAUCCCUUCGGCCCGACAUUCGCUGCCUCCGAUUCCCUCCCGUCCCCACACCCGCCCACCUCCAGAUCGCCUCCACCUUCCCUCUUUCCGUCAACUCCAUCCGUCUUUUCUUCUUCCCAAUACCCCUCCACCUUCUGUCUCUUCAAACCACAGUCCUCCUCGUCGCCCUCUUCUCGUCCCCUUUUCUCAGUGCCGCUUCCGCUCUCGGACGGAACCUCCUCGGCCACAAGCCCGCCUCCCUCGGGGACCUGGGGCUUCUCUGCGUGCUCGUCCCCCAUGAUCGAAGAGAAGAGCUCCGCGAUCGGCGGAGGCUCCAGCUCGUAGGUUCAAUUGAUCAAACACUAACCCUAACCGGGUUUCAGGGGGCGGCCGUCCGGCCGGCCGGUACUACAAUAUAACAUACGACUUGUCACGUGAGGAGGAGGUGAUUAUCUAUUUAUUAUCCUUUUUUAAAGAAGAAAAAAAAAUACUAUAGUUAAUUAGUUAACUUGUUAAUUAAUGAACUAUAAUUUCUAUCAACAAAAUAAAAUGCAGUCAACAAAUAUUCCAUCAUGCUAAUAAUAAAUUUUGUUUCAUUUUAAUAAUAUGCUAUAAAGUGACUCUGCUAAAUAAGCUCAACAAUGUUGACUUAGUUUGAUUGCUUUGCCAAGUAUUAUUGACUUAAUUGUGGAUAAAUGUGAGACAUCCAACCAACCAUUGCCAUGUCAUGGAUAUUAUUUGUCAAUCAUUCAUGUGGUCACUCGUCCAGUCAACCAAAUACGGCAUCAAAAUCUGCCUCAUGAGAAGGCAGUAAAAGAUUCCUUGACUUUUGGGUCUACUUUAGACGAAGUCAACUUCCUUGUCUCUUCCCCUUCGUUAGUAUGUAUGCCAAAUAGUGAUCCAAUUAGCACAUCCUGCGUUUGGUCAACUUGGCAAAGUCAACCAUAAGAACAUCAAUUUGCAUUAAUGAGGUGUGCAGAAAAACUGCUCCAAGAGAAUAGCUGCUGUCUUCGUCGGUCUCAACCCUCCGCAAUUACUUCCGAAGACUGCAAUCCUAAUAACGAGAUACUGAUACAUUAAAAAUACUAAAUGAUAAUGGUCACUAACUUAGGAAAUUAUGUCAGAAAAUUCAUCCGACCUUAUGAUUCAGCAAAGUUAUUACAGAAGCUGCUUAAUUUGGAUGCUCAUAAAGCUGAAGAGACUAAGCUUAGCGGUUCCACACAUUCUCAUGGCGAUCGAUCAAGACCGGCGGUUCAGUGGUCGAGCUUCAAGACCACCGCCAGCCCUCCUCUCCAGCUUGUAAGGCAUGUGUGUUCCCAAGAUCAUGUCCCAUGUGAUGAAGAAUGGCUGCGAGAAGUUGUACUUGUUGCCGUAGAGCUGAUGAUGGACAUCAUGAUACGCGGUGUUGUUCCAGAAGAACAGGUGGAAGAUGUUCCCGGGAAGCCACAGCCCGCAGUGGUCAUCUAUCCCUUUGAUGGUGGCGAAGGAGAAGAAGAAGAUGGAGGUUCUGGGCGACAUGCCCGAGAGAAUGAAGGCGAGGCCGCCGCCGAAGGUGUCCAAGAGAAGCCCUUCUACCGGGUGGUUGUAUUGGCUGCCGAAGGAGUAUGGGACGACGAGGCGGUGGUGCCAUGAAUGGACGUGGCGGUACAAGAACUUGUUCAGGUGCAUGUAUCGGUGCCAGAAGUAUUGCCAUGUAUCGAGAACGAACAUGGCGACGACGAACUGCCUCACCAGCGAGAGAAACGAGGCCGAAUCGCUUGUGGCUGCUGCGCUGUGAUCAUCACCUGUGAUCUAUACAUGCACAAGAUGAACUCAUUGAGUGACGUUGAUAGAAAGAGAGAAAGAUCAUGGAGGCACGUUGGUGUUCGACCUUAAACACGAGGAAGGCAACAGCAGCUUGAACCAGCUGCUGGAGAAGAACUCCCUUCACCACCUGGAGCUUGGAGACCAAGUUCUUGACGUCCUCAUCUUUUCUCGAGUGCAACCGAUAGUUGUCGAGGGAGCCAAGCAUCAAGUACACGCCGGAGUAAACCCAGUAAACCAGAAUGGGCACUACAAUGGCUAAGAUCUCAUCGGAAGGCAGAGAAUACUCCAUUGCCACACAAAGCUCACGAUCCCUUGGUGGUGGUGGUGGUGGUGGUGGCUUUGCUUCUGUAGUUUAUAUAGAUCACGAAGAGCAAGUGUUUGCUCUCUCCAUCUUCUUCUGAGAGAGUCCUCCAUUAAAAGUCAGCUAAAUACAGCCGACUACCUUGAAAUUUAGACUUCCUAUAGCGUAGAACCAUUUGAAAUGAUCCAUAUAUGGCUUGGCAUUGAUGCAAUCUCGAAGGGUGCAAAGAGAAUCCAACAAGUUGGACUUGACCAAUGACCUGAGUAGAUUUGAGGUUAACAAAAGGAUUAAAUGUGUGCAAGAGAUUCAUAAUAAUUAAUUGCACGUAGUUGGCUAAUAAACAAAGAUUAGGGAACAUGCAGAAGGUAGCAGCUGCAUGCAUGGCUGUAAUAUGAACCCAAUAUAGGAAGUGAUCAAACUUAUGCACUCCAUUUUUGAACGUCAACAUGCAGUAAACUGCAAGUGGGGCUGUUUCCACAUGGUUGAAGAGUAGUAUUUUGCUUAGGUAGUCUGGAAACAGCGUACCAAGUGGUCAUAAAUAGGGGCAAUUUCCUUUGAUGUUUCAGAAGUUCUUGAGAAGACUUUGAUCCAAUAUUUCAUGAGGAGCAAACACUUGUUGACUGUUUUCCAGACACCUUAAAUUAGGUAUGUAAAAUCACAUUUUGAACAGCUUAUUGAUUUUAUAUCAAAAGUGAAAUAUAUAGUCAUUGGUCAUGUAUCCAUACAAUGUAUCUCUGUGUCAUGUAUCUAUAAGAAUAAUAUUCUUAUAAAUAUAAAAAAUCAUGUGACACCUCAGUUUGAGAUUUAAUAUUAGUAUUUUCGGUUAGUAAUUCAAAUGUAUAAGUUAAUGAAUCAGUUAUCACAUCGGAUCGAAUAUCGAUAAUAAAUGGUAUCAGAGCGUAUCGAUCAUUUGGCAUAGUAAAUUAAAGGUCAUAAGGUCGUUGAUCACAUAUCCAAAUAACCUCACAGCAUUAACAUUUCCAUGUCAGUUGCUAUAUGUUCAAAGUUGAGCUAAACAUGCUCAAAUACUAAAUCUUAGGAUGUUGCAGUCCCAGAAUGUGGAUUUUGGUCCAGGUGAUUAAGGCUUUUAUUAGAGUUCAUUCAGCAGUAAGUAAGUAUGAAUGUAUCCCUUAGAAUAAAGUGGAUUUCACUGAUCAGAAAACACUUGCUGAAGUUACUGGUGGCUUGGGCAGGAUUAAUUAUUACUGCAGUUGUGGGUUGUAUUUUUGAUCCAUUUUGGCUCUUUUGUUUGAUCUAUAUAAUUUAUGUGCAAGUUUUAUACAAUUUGUAGGACUUGUAGGUUUUUCGGUGUUCUGAAUUUUCUAUUAUGCUGAUCUAUUUUUAUUUCUGAGUAUGAUACAGAAAUAUAAUUCACAAACAUCUGAUUUCUGUAACCAAAACCAGAUCAAAUUUUUUGAGAAAAUUGUACCAUUGCUGGUGCAUCAACACAGGAAAAAAAAUGGAUAUCAGUGUAAAAGACUUGGAAAUAUGAUCAACUUAAUUAUUUUUGGAGAAUCAUUUCAUCCUUCAUAGAUAUCAUCAUUGGUUUCACUUAUGAAGAAGGAAAGGAAACUGUAGAUUACAGUGGAAUAGACUACAGUGGUGGUGAUGAUACUUGAUAGGUUGUGAUCUGUUGAGUCAUUAGGUUCCACAAAUGCAGAGCAGCAAAAGCAACAAAUUGGCUUGUCACUACUUAUGUAAGAACUUGCAGUAUGCCAUUUCACUGUGCUAAUAAUUGGACUUCCUCUGUUCAAAGAAAUUUCAACACAGGUAACAUGAAGUUGAGCCUCAUCUCUUGUCACUAGCAUGGAGGAGACAAGGAACAUGGCAUAUACCCCACAAACCAUAUCCACAUUAUUAUAUGAUGGUGGGGAAUCUCACUAUGAUGGCUAAUCUGAGAACCUUAAAUAUAAUCUUCUGAAACACUCAUGAAUGAAUUUGAUUUCUGACACUAUGAGAACAUACUAAUACUCUUGAACUUGUCCAUGAAGGUCCUCCUUACCAGUGAAGAUGUAAAGCUGUUGAUCCUGAUCUCUAUCCACUCUGUUUCCCAUUUCUAGAUAAGUGAGAGCACUUAAUCCAAUCCUAGGCUUGCAAGACCUUAUCCAAACAGUACAUAACAUUAGAUAGCUUUAGCCACAGAAACUUGCAGAUAAAGACUUAAAUGUCUACCAAAACUUCCACCUCCUGUAGAGACAUGAAUCUUAUCUUCAUAUACACAAAGGUAUAGAUUGCCCCACAAGAUAAAAUCUGAGUCUAGAUCACAUCUAAGGAAGUAAAGAACCAAAAGAUGAUGUGGGUGUCACUACAUUUCUGGUGCAACCAUACUAUCAUCAUUAUCUGCUACAAAGGUAGAUAAUACUUUUUCCUUUUCUUUUUGUGGGUCAUUGUAACAUAAUAGAAGGAAGGUCAAAAGGGCACUUGCAAUUGCAGCAGUUGCUUCACCCACUUUGCAUGACCCACCAAAGAAAAACCUUAAAAAAAUUGACAGAGGACUACUAUAAAUACCACAUCUUGUGACCCAAUCACACUGCACAAAGCUAUAAUUCAGAGUCUUCCACAGGAGCCUCAUAAACCUCUUGCUCUCGGAUAUCAUGUUGUCCAUUGGAGCCAGCUAUGCCCAGCUCCAUGUCCAACAAGAGCACUACAAGCAGAAGAUCAAGAGAAAGGAAGGGCAGCAGAAGCCCAAGGGACAGAAGAAGGGAACUGAAGGAAGAGUCCACCCUGAUGGCUCAUCACCAAGACAAGCCAAGGCUGAUCUCAACAAGUGUAACCCAUGAAAGAGAGGAAAGAUAAAGAGAGUCAUGUUUGAUGCACUUACUAUGUGUAGGUGUUGGUUGUAGAACUGCUGUUGUUUGCAAAUUAGUUGCUGGUUUAACAGGACUUAUUAUUUUGGCUUGUCCUUCUUCAAUUAUUUUCCCCUUGUUUAUUAGAUUUGGUGAAUGUUUGGAAGAAGUUAAAAGCAGCCUCUUUGCAAGCAAAAGCUUGGGGAAUAUUAAGUCCAAAUUGUAUGAAUGUUUGAAAUGGAUUAAGAUGGAUCAAAUCUUUUAGUGACCCUAAAUUAUUAUUAUUAGUUUUCUUCAUUACACUUGAGCCUAAUAUAGUAGCUAAAUCCAACAUUUAGUUUUCUUUAUAAUAUCCACUAAUUCCUCUAACCUUAUUGCAUCUGUGUCAUUAUAGAUGGGAUCAUGUUAUUAGUGAGAUAAAUAUAUAGUCCAUAUGUUAUUACAUAUAUUACUAGAUUUAGUCAAACUUAUCACUAUUAUUUGUUCUCAAGUUAUGCUUAUUCAGUCUUAAAAACUAUUAAUAUAUGGGAAUUAAUACAUUAGAGAUCUUUUCUUUUACUUCUUUGUUGCUUUUUAAAGUUGAGAAAGAGCCCCUUCAUCUUCACACCCAUGUCCUCUAGUGCUUAAAUGGCAGUGGUGAUUGGUACUAUCUCCCCCUUCAUUUUGUUUUUUUCUUCUGUCAAUCAUGCAUUGUCAUCAAGAAAUACUGAUCUUUUGCUACCCAUCUGUGUUUAAACGUUACAUGCCUGUCAAUGGUUGUCAACAAUUGCAUGCACUUGGGAGAAAUGACUGGGUUUUGUCUGUGAGGGCUGUGAGCUCAAGGUCAAGAAACACUUUUCUUCAAUGAAAUGUGUUGCCUUCUUUCAUCUUUGCAUCCACUGCAAGUCCAAUUAUACCUCACUUGUGUUCAUCCUUCAAAUUCCUCACUUGGGCCAUUCUUGUUGGUAGAUGGUUGUGGCCUCUGUCACUUGCUAUGUUGAGCCAGACAAUGUCUUUAAAGAAUGUCCGGCCUUCAGGAAAGAUGUGAGGUGAUAAAUGAUCGAUGUAAUCAUGAUGAAUUGAGGAAGUUGAUCUUGCACAAUAGGGGUUGUCAUGAAUGUGCCCAAGAGAAUCCUCAUCUGAUGCUCAAAUCAGAGUUUACUUUGAGGUAAAGAAAAGACUACAUGAAAAAUACAAUAAAAAUUCAGAGAAACAAAUGAUAUUUCUACCUUAGAAUGAGUCUUCUUUUAUAGAAUCAAAGCUUGCUAGGUUGUUGUGGAAGAUUCUAUCAAUCCAUUGAUAGAAUAAUUUCUUGUCUUGAUUUAGACAUAACAUAACAAAUAACCUGAUUGGACUAUGAUAUAAUGACAGAAUCUGUGUUGAAUGACUAUAACCAUAUGAUCCACAUAUCACUCUAUGAUUGGUGUGAAUUAUGAUGUCUGUUUUUAGCAAAGAAACAUGGUAGAGAAAAAUUAGGAGGAUUCUUUCCUCGACCACAUCUGAUCUCUUAGCUCCACAUUGUUCACACAAUAUUGCACAUGUAAAUAAAGUUCCCUGUGUUAGAUUGACCUUUCACCUUUCAUUGAAUGAGUUGUAGCCUUAGUUGAAAGGAGGAAUGGGUUUGGGGCUAGUCUACUUCAGUGUGCCAGAUAGGAAUGAAUUGUAGCUGUGUACCACUUUGAGGAGGCCAUUCUGAAAGCUUCCUUCAUUGCUAUUACCUGUGACUAAGAAAGCAGUUUGAGUGAAGUAAUCAUAUAAAAAAGCUUUCCAUUUAUUUUUCUCUUGGUCAGAUUCCUGCUGAUAGAAAUUUUCAUGCUCAGUGCAGGAAAUUGCUGAAGAUAUUGUAGGCCUCUGAACAAUACAAACAUUAGGAUACCAGGAUGGGUGCAUGCAAAUUUAUGAAUCAUGCAGGAAUGAUUUAUACAAUUCAAAAUCUAACUUGAGAGAUGAUCCGAUACCCCAGCGAUAACUAGCUUUUUUUUUUCUUUUCCAUUUCUUUUUUUUUUUCUUGUAGUGCAUCACAUUAGGAAAACUGCUGAGGCGUAGAACUUUUCAGUAAAGCUUCUCAUAAUUUCUUUACAAUCAUAAGAUGCAGUUCUGCAUAGCUAAUUUCUAUCAUAUUUUUCUUUUUAUUUUCUUUUAUUCUCUCAAUAAUGACAUAACUAUUCCUUAACUAGUUGGCUGUACAUCAAUCCAUCAUUUUCUCCAUGUGUUUUGAUGAGUUUGAUUAAGCGAUAAUUCUAUACGUUUUUCUUUGUUAUUUCUUUCUUAUUGCCCUUGUAUGAUUAUUCCUAUUUUUCUUUUUCUUUUUGUAAAUCAUUCCAAAUUUGAAGGGGGAAAAAAAUCACAUGUAACACUUACAUGACAUGAGGAGUCCAAAGUUAUGACUCUUUAAUGAAGUAUAGCCUUUUGUAUUUGGACCUGCUUGAUGCCCUUUAAAUGAGCACAACUGUUUGAAGACAUUUAAGUUUAAUGUAGUUUAGCCUUACAUGAAGAUAUUGAGAGGACAAAAUUAAUCAGAAAAAAAUAUUUAGGACCACCAUCUGCAGAUGUCUUAAUACUGUGGUGGAAGAUAAGCCCAGUAAACCUGAUCAUGUCACACCAAGAUAAUGUCUACAACAAAGCCAAAGAUUUACUAUAAAGAUAAAAAAGCCAAAGUUUGAAUAUUCUUAAGACCUAUGACAUUUACAAUUUGCAUGAUACUUUUUGCAUAUAUGAUGUAUUUGUACUAAUUUCCAAGCAUGCCAUUGUUGAGAAAUAUACUUUUUAAUCCUUAUAAUAGAUAUUAUUAAAGUAGAAUAAUAAUUAUACAAAAUAAUGAAGGAUAAUGAGUUAUUGAUCAUCUUUUAAUGGGAUCCUCAUAAAAGUUAAAUUAUGAUUGUUACAAUAAUCAAGGCUUUAAAUUUUGAUUUGAUGCUAAUUAUAGUUUUCGAUGAAGUUGGCAUGAAACUGUUAUAUCAAAGUGUAUGUUGAUACAUCAUUAACUAAAAUAAUAAAAAUAAUAUCUCUGGAUAUUGAACUAUAUAUUCUAAUAUCACUGCUUGAUUGAACUGGUAAAUACCAGUUGAUAUAUAUUAGUCCAAUAAAUAUGAUCUUUACUUAGAGAGAUUCCAUGGUUCAAUCACUGCUAAUUAUGAGCAAUCUGAAUUGGAUGCCUGAGCAGGUGAAGUUUUGCAUCCACUUUCAUUGGUCUAACAUUGAAGCCCUGAGGGUUUGGUUGAAAGGCAUUGCUGACUUUGCAAGGUCAUCCCUGAAAGCAACUACUAGUAUGACAGACAGCCCCAUUUAUUGCCCAAGUUCUUCAAAGUCUCUUGUUUCACAUAGAGCCAUUUGUUCAGUCUAUUGAUGUUAUUGUUUCAUUAGUUGAAAAGUCUACAAGCUGUGCCAAAACCUUCUUAGUGAUGAAGUCUAGUGGGCAGUUUCUUUGAAGUUUCAGCCAUAAGUGUUAUAGUCAAAAGUUUUUGUUCUUUUUGCCUAUCAACCUGACUUUAUGGACAUAGAUUGACAAUAGGUUGCUCACAUGAUCAUAUGAGCAAAUUGGCAUCCUUGAAUUGAUAUCCUUCAAAUCCAAAAGAGGACCAUUUCAUAAUAAAAUGUGUCCCAGGGGGCCCUCUCUGCACAGGAAUUAUGAUCAGUGAAAGUCAACAUCAAAGAAACAAAAGUAUUUAAUUGCACUGAUGAAGCUGCACCCUUCUAUGUAUGGAAGGCAUCUUCUCAAGCUGCGCAAAUCAGUAAACACCAAACAAUAAACAAGCAAGAAGAUUGCUGUUGGAUCCUGUUCAGAUCCAUCAUUGAGGCCUGCUGUCAAAAUGCAAUGAAUGUGGACAGGUUUGGACUCUUCUUCCUCUUUCUAAGUUCUGUGUGAUGUUCCUGAUCACUCAUUGCCACUAGUUGAGGAGGUAUAAGAUGGUAGGCUGCUAGCAACCAAUAAGAGAGGAAAAAAGAAACAACUGGGUUGACUCAGUUAGGGUCUUCGAAAGACCCUUUACAUACAUCUUAGAUAUGAUGAUUAUUGUAGGGGUGAAUCCUCUCCUCACUCUUUAUGGGAAUCUUGGGGAUACUGGAGGAUCUGAGGAUGAAACCAAGGAAGAAAAGAGGAGAAAAAAGCAACAUUGGGUGGUGGAGAGAAGUUGUUUGGGGGCCUUCAGCAGUGGCUCCUGUUUGGAAAGGUGUUUUCUUUUUGUCAUUCAAUCUUCUUUUUGGUUUCUUUCUUGUGUUCCCAUUUAGUUACUUUUUUCAUAGCAUAUGUGAAUGCUAAAAGGUCCACUUCCAAGAUGAAAGGGAAUCAAGGGAGCUUUGGCUUGUGGAUUCUUUUAGUGGUUUCUGAUACUUGGUCUCUGAAGUAGCAUUUGUAUGCUGUUCUGACCUAAAACAGGCUUGUACUUCUUCUGGUGCAUGAUUUGUGUUCUGCUCUAGUUGAAGUUCAUUCUGGACUUAUUCCAUGGUGGUGGUUUCUUCUGUUCCUUGUGCAUCAUUCCUUGAUCCCUGUUAAAUGGGUUACAGAGUAUAUCUAUUGAAGCUUUUAAUGCAACUAUGCUGUAAUUUUUUUUUCUAACCAAUGACAUGCUCCAUUGACUGAAAAUGUUUUGAAGCAUUGAGAUGCAUAAUUCAAACACCUCCUCAGCCUUCCUUGUCCUUUUGUACUACAUCUGACUUCUGAAAGUGACACAAUUCUAGUUUGUUCUCCCAAGAUUUGCCCACAUUAUUAGAUUUAUUUAGUGGACUUCUUUCUGAAGAUAUCAUAUGAACCUUCAGAAGUGCCUGGCAAAGAAAUUUUUGAAGACCCCUCUGCAGAUCUCUUAUAUAUUGUUAUAACAUGAAUCAUGUUUCAAUCAUGAUAACCCUAAAGAAGUAUAAUGCCACCCAAUAUCUUGAUCUAUAUGUAUGUAUGAUGUAGAUUAACUGACUUGGAUGAGUAGUUUGACCAGGACUAGUAUUGGAUGCUUUCAAGGAGGAAUUAACUGUUCAUGAGAAAAUAAUCUCUUACUAAUGUUAUUUCACUAUCUUGAAUGUGGUUUAUACUUUAUACCAGGAUAUCUUGCUCAGUCCUAUAUAUGGACAAUUGGACAUCAACUAGUUCUCAUGAGAAUUAAGUCCUUGGUCUUUUGCCAAUUGUAGAUGCUGUGUUAGCUUCUUUGAUCCCAGUCUCUGAUCUGUUUAUAUUUAUUAUGUUCAUGCUGAUGUAUACUAUCUUCCAGAGGGAAAGAAAAAGUUAGGAAUAAAUGUUUUAAGUUACAUUUUUGUAUCUUUCUUCUAGGUCUGGUCAUUGGCACAUAUUUGUCUUCAUGUCUUUUGCUAGUUGAACAUGUUGGAUUGAUACAUUUUGGCUUGUUUGCUUGGACAGCAACUGAUAAAAGUGAUUCAACCUGUAGUGUCUGUCUUGAUUCUUUCUGUGCUAACUGCUGAAAUUUCAACAACUACUACGUUGAUUUCUAAGAAGUCCUUACUUUUGCAGGCUAAAAGUUGCUGCCCCCCAAAUCCAGCAAUCCUGCUUCUUUAGUUAAACAAGCCAAUGAUGGCGCACUCUGUCUCUGAUGAAGUUGAGAGCAAGGAUAUUGAGAUGGCCAAUCAUUCUUCCUCCCACAGGCAGACCGAAAAUCACAAAUCUGUGCACAAGGUGGGACUGCCACCUCGGAGGAACUUCAUCGGAGAAUUCUCUGAAACGUUAAAGGAAACAUUCUUCUCAGAUGAUCCUCUACGGCCUUACAAGGACCAGCCUAGAUCAAGACAGCUGGUGCUGGGCCUUCGGUUCUUGUUUCCAGUCCUUGAGUGGGGAAGAAGCUACAAUCUUAGUAAGUUCAAAGGAGAUGUUAUUGCUGGAUUGACAAUUGCUAGUCUUUGUAUCCCUCAGGUAUUCAUCCCUAAUAGCACAAUUAAAUGAAUUCGUUCCUAUGUUAGACUAAAUUACUGAAACCUGAUAUUUUCUAAACCAGGACAUAGGAUAUGCUAAGCUUGCCAACAUGGAUGCAAAAUAUGGGCUAUGUGAGUUCAGUUAUACUGCUUUGGAUAAUCAGAAUUAAAGUUUUAUGUUCUUUGUUAUGAGCAAUUGUUGCUUUUUCUCUUUUGCAGAUUCCAGUUUUGUUCCACCACUAAUUUAUGCAGUGAUGGGUAGCUCAAGGGACAUUGCUAUUGGACCAGUUGCAGUUGUGUCUCUCUUGCUUGGAACCCUUCUUCAGAAUGAAGUAGAUCCUGAGAAAAAUAAGGAGGAUUACCGGCGGCUUGCAUUUACAGCAACUUUCUUCGCCGGUGUCACUCAAGCAGCACUCGGAUUUCUGAGGUAAAUGCUCCUUAUAGUUAUUGUAAUUGGUGUUUUAGAUAUGGAAAUGUAACUUUAUAUUAUCUGAUAUCACAGAUUAGGCUUUCUCAUCGAAUUCCUCUCUCAUGCUGCAAUUGUUGGGUUUAUGGGAGGGGCUGCCAUUACAAUUGCUCUCCAGCAGCUAAAAGGAUUUCUUGGAAUCAGGAAGUUUACCAAGAACACAGAUAUCAUUUCAGUUAUGAAAUCUGUUUGGGGUUCAGUCCAUCAUGGGGUAAAGCUACUAACUCAGUUUAUUAUGUCUUAGGAUGGGGCUUCUUUGCUGAAUCUUACUCGAUUUUGUUAAUUUUGCAGUGGAACUGGGAGACGAUAUUGAUAGGGACAAUGUUUUUGGCAUUUCUUCUUUCUGCAAAGUACAUUGUAUGUGCUUAAUUCUCAUUUGAAGAAGCUUUCAAGAACAAGACUUGUAUAUUUAAUUUACCUCUUCCAGUGAUACUGUUCAAAUUCUACAGGGAAAGAAAAAUAGGAAAUUUUUCUGGGUUCCUGCAAUUGCGCCACUUAUAUCAGUUAUCCUAUCCACAUUUUUCGUGUACGUCACCCGGGCUGAUAAGCAUGAUGUCCAGAUUGUAAGUUCUCAGCAAUCAGUUAUCUGUUUGAAUUAAAACUAAACUUUUAUUAAAUAUGAUGACCAAAACUGGUUCUGUUAUUGAUCUAUGAAAGGUGAGAAAGAUAGAUAGGGGACUCAACCCAUCAUCUGUUAGUCAGAUUCACUUCAGUGGUUCUUAUGCCGCAAAAGGAUUCAGAAUUGGAGUGGUUGCUGGAUUGAUAGCUCUGACAGUACUUAACCUCUAAACUCAAGUCCAUCUUUCUCGAAGAAAUCUAUUUUUGAACUACUUGUAACAAAUAGGGUAAAUCUGUAGGAAGCAAUAGCAAUUGGAAGAACAUUUGCUUCCAUGAAGGAAUAUCAAUUGGAUGGAAACAAGGAAAUGGUUGCUAUAGGAACCAUGAACAUAGUUGGUUCAAUGACAUCUUGCUAUGUAGCAACAGGUAAACAUAUAAGAUCAAUGCUUGAAGGAGUUAUUUCUGAAUUAGAGAAUCACCAUGAACAUUAAAUACUCGAAAACAUGUAUUUGGUUGCAGGUUCCUUUUCACGUUCGGCUGUCAAUUUCAUGGCUGGCUGUCAAACAUCUGUGUCCAAUAUUGUCAUGUCCAUGGUAGUGAUGCUUACCUUGCUAGUGAUCACACCCCUCUUCAAGUACACCCCGAACGCGAUACUCUCCUCGAUCAUUAUUUCAGCUGUGAUCAGUCUUAUCGAUUAUGAAGCAGCAUUUCUUAUCUGGAAGGUUGACAAGCUCGACUUUAUUGCAUGUAUGGGAGCCUUUUUUGGUGUAGUUUUUGUAGAUGUUGAAAUUGGCCUCUUGAUUGCUGUAAGAACCUCGAUUGCUUGUUUCCCUCUUUUCGAACUGCUGAAAGGUUCCUUUUUGUGUUUGCUGAUAUCAAUUGCCAUGGAUUUCUUUUUCUCUCCUGCACAAAUAGGUUUCUAUAUCGCUUGCGAAGGUCCUUCUGCAAGUAACAAGGCCAAGAACAGCUUUACUCGGGAAUCUUCCUUCGACAAUGGUAUACCGAAACAUCGUACAAUACCCAGAGGCAACCAAGGUUCCGGGAGUUUUGAUAGUUAGAGUUGACUCUGCUAUCUACUUCACAAACUCUAACUAUGUCAAGGAGAGGUAAAUCUUUAUAACUCAGAUGUUACUAAUUAUAGUUGCUAAUUCAGAUUGGUAGCACAUCUUUAAGCUAGAAUAGCAUGAAGAACCCACAGAUCUCAGUUGGACAUAGUUUAACUGUACAUUAGGACCCAACAGCAAAGUGAAUAAAUGUCAGGACUUUUACUAAACUCACUAGAAGUCAUUCUAAUGAGUUCAGUACAUAAAUCUCAGGAACACAUUGACUGAACUCAGGAACAUCACCAGGCCAAUUUUCUUUGAUUCUUAAAAUUUGUGUGUUUACUUUUUACUUUAAAACUGGAUUACUAGAAUCUAUCAUUGCAAUGGUUGUUCACCUAUUGCAGGAUCCUGAGAUGGUUAAGAGAUGAAGAAGAGCAACUGAGAGCAGAAAAUCUACCCCAAAUAAAUUUCUUGAUAGUCGAAAUGUCGCGUGAGGAGCCCCUUACAUUUAUUUCUCAUUCUUAUUGUACAAUCUUGAUCUGAUAUUUACGACAUCGAUCUUUUCGCUGCCUGAUUGUAUGUGCAGCUGUGACAGACAUCGACACAAGUGGCAUCCAUGCCUUUGAAGAACUGUAUAGGAGCCUCCAAAAACAUGAAAUCCAGGUUAGUACCUUAUACAACAGCCGAAGUAGCAUUGAUAACACUGUUGUUUCAAAAGAAAAUGGAAGAUCAGUGAAGCUUACAAGUAUUUACAUCUAUUCUUCAGCUUGUUCUUGCAAAUCCCGGCCCAGUGGUGAUUCAGAAGCUCCAUUUAGCCAAGUUCACAGAGCUCAUAGGCCAUGACAAGAUAUUCCUCUCGGUUGGAGAAGCUGUGAUGACUUGUACUUCAAAGGCAAGGGAAGAUUCAUAAGGUAGACAUGCCACCUACAAUUAGCACAUAUCAUGUGAGUUUUCGUGGAGAGGGUCACUUAGUGUUUCAGGUUCUGGAACACAGAACAGAGAGAAGGAUUUAUGUGUAAAGGUUCAUUCUCGGAUGAACUGAAGAGGUAACUACAAGAGCUUAUGUUUCAUCUAAAAUAAAAGGAGCAGUAACCAGAAAGAGCUUAUACAAAGGAGUUGCCGCUGAUUGUGUACUACCUCAUUUUUUUGAAUCUGAUGAAAUGAACCUGAAGCUGUCUUCGGUCUCCCUCAAGAAAUGUUGGAUGAAUAAGAAUGAGAAUGAUAGCUGUAGCAUUAUGAAAGCAUUAUACCAUAGAUAAGAGGUGAAGGAAGUGGAGUCAGGGAGCAGGUGAAUGUUGUGGAUAGCUUGAAUUAUUGAGGUGGGGUUGAGGACUUGUUCAUGUUGUCCACUGCAAAUUUUAUAUGCUGAUGAAUUAAAUUACUGGGUUGCAGUGACAUGCAUUGAAUCUAUAAAAUUGUUUUCACUCUGGAGGUGGAUGUUGCUGUCGAUCAGACAUUAUUAGCCCUUUUAUAGUGUAUAAAUAAUUCUUCUUUCCACUUGGCUGACAACAGAUAAGUAAUAUGAGUAAAGUGAAAUGCAUCAGUGGAAACCUUUGACUUGCUACCAAUGUUUUGUGCAACAGAUCUCACAAACUUGCAUGAAUAGACUAAUAUCAGUCACUUGUUUUGCCAUUUGUUAGUGCUAUUCACUGUGCCACCAUAUGAAUGGAUAGAAUUUAUUUUUCUUGAUGUGCUGAUAACAGUUUUCAUUUGUAAAUUAGCUUUAUGUGGCACAAAACAGAAAUGGGAUUGCCAAAGUCAGAGAGGUUUGACAUUUUAGCACUUUAGACUUUAUAUCAGAUGUUGACUCAUGACAGAAAUAACAAAGUUCUUAUCUAACAGAGAAAAAUCUAAUUCAAUUCUUGGUAUUCUACCAACUGGAACAAUUUUUUCCUCUAUUUAAGAACUCAGAUGAAGCCUUAUAAUUAGCUUCUGUUCUUAGAUUGACAUCCAAAAAAAAAGAUCAUAAUUAAUCUCUGGUCCAUUUAAGCUUUCUAUGAUGUAAAUCUUAUCGAUAUCUUGACAUUUAAUAUGAUGAUGAGCAGGUAGUCACCAUUGCCAAAAGUUCUGAGGAUUAUAUUACACCUUCACAUUUUUUUUUAUGGUGGAUAAUGAUGCAGACACUCGCAUGCUUAUUGUUUUAGAGAAUUAGAAGACAUGUAAGCUUGUGAAUGGAGUCCACCUAAGACUCCUUGGAGUUCAUGAAAUCAUGCUGAAUCCAAGUAAUAUCUGAAUACUUUCUUUCUUAGGGAAACAGGACCUUAAAAGUCUCUUCCUCAUCUUGGAUCAACUCAGAGAUUCUUUACCAGUGAAGGAAGAAUGUUCUCAUCUCUGUUCUAAAGAUGUCAAAGUGGAUGAUUGAGUUGCUGCACAACAGAAAAAUCACAUGAAACUUAUAUGAAUAGUAUUCCAUGAUUGAGACAGACAAUUACAUAAAAUUCCAAGAAAUUGUUUCAUUAAUGUUUUCUAUGUAUCGACUAGCAGAAUUGUUGAACUCUGGAUUCAGAUCUGAGAUGUAAAGAUCAACAAUUCCAAUCAGGAGAAAUCAAAAUACCAUGCCUGUAAUUACUGGAGCAAUUUGACUCUUCAAACCCAAUCAAAACACCUCUAUAAAGAAACAAAAAACCCAAACUUUUGAAGAUGAUGAUCCUGGGUUGGACAAGAACAAGGUCACUGAUACAAGAGGUGCAAUCACAAAACUUGGAGAAAUGAAGGCACCUCCUCAGGAUCAAGAGUCACUUGGCCUUUGAAGUUGGCAGAAGACUAUUUAGGCAUCAGUCUUUCCACCCAUCCACAGCCCAUAGGAACUCAAAAGCCAUUAGAAGAACCACCAAAAGCACACCUUUUACACAUUCUAAGAAGGCAAAAUGGCUUGCUUACAUACUAUUUAAGCAUUCCUUUUACAGUCAGUCAUCUCCGUCCUCCAUUAAUUCCUCUCUCUCUUCCAUUCUGCUGCUUCAGCCCAUAGGAACUUGAGAGCCAUUAGAAAAACCACCAAAAGCACACCUUAUUUAAGCACCCCUGUUACAGUCAGUCAUCUCCAUCCUCCAUUAAUUCCUCUCUCUCUCUCUCUCUCUCUUCUCCUGUUUCAGCUAUGUCUCGAUCCUACGAACGUCUGCACCUUAAAUGUGAACUAACCAACAUCAAAUUGACCAAACUCAACAGCCCUGACUUCGUCGGAAACCUCUUCAUAAGAUGCUACGUAAAUGCCGGUGGUGGGCGGAGGAUCAUGAUCGACUCCUGCGACGUGCCACCAACCGGCGAUCCGACAUGGGAUAGGAUGGCUUCGGUGGAGUGCAGUGGGUCCUCCCGCCACGUGCGUGACCUCCUCGAGCGGCACGGCAUCGUGUUCGAGCUACGAGGACGCAGAAGCGAUCGGAGGCAAGCGGCUGAGGCAGCCUCGUGCUCCGAGCUCCUGGGCACAGCCGAGGUUCCAUGGCGAGACAUCUGUGGACCGACUGAAACGUCGGUGCACAGACAUGUCAGUCUCGUCAUGGCUGGCGGCGCGCACGUCGGUGACACGCCGCCGGAGGUGGUGGUCUACAUGGCGGUUCGAGUGUCCAAGGUGGGGAAGGUUGGCAAGAGGAUGGAAUGGGAGGAGGGAUGUGAAUGGAGUGUGGGUGAGGAGGACGUGUUUGCUGCUGCUGCUGCUGCAGUUGUGGAUGAUGCAUUCUAGCUAAUCCUUGUUCACGACAAGCACUGCUCGACAAUUCUCUUAAUGCAAGUCAUCUGUUUUCUUGUACUAUUUCCUUUCACAUAAGCCAACAAAAGAAAUGCUAACUUAAUCUCUCAUCACACAACAACUGAUGCUUCUGAAACAUCAAAGCACAAGAAGUGACAACAACAAUGAGGAUCUUAAGCUCCCCAGGGAAUGAUACUCUCAUGAUACUAUGUUCUAUCCAUAGUUUGGAUCUUCCUCUACUUGUACUCAUCUUAAUUUUUCUCUUUAUCACAUGUUUUUUCCUAUAAAUCCAAUAUAUAUCAUAUUAUAUCAUAUCUAUGUACAAACAUUAAAUAAUAGAAAACAAAAACAAGAACGAAAGCAGAAGCAAAAGCAAAUCCAGGGGUUUAAUGUUGUCGUUUCACCUCCGAAGAUAUAGUAUAAAAAAGGGAAAGCAAAAAGCAAAAAGCAAAAAAACAAAAACAAAUCACCCACCUACCCACACCUUUUAUAACGCCUCUCCCCGACCCAACCAAUGCUUUCUCAGUCCGCCAUCUCUCUCUCUCUCUCUCUCUCUCUCUCUCUCUCAUUGCCUGCUCCUCCUCUCUCCAAGUGCUAACUCUAACCCUAGAAAACGCCUCCCAUUCUUGUAGUUUCUCACAUCCAGUGGUAUCAGUCUCGCGGCGAUGCACGAGCUGGAGGUCCGUUUCCGCGGUUCCAUACUCCCCAGGAUCUGCAUCCCGGACGAGGCCUCGGAUCCGCCGCCUCUCUUCGCCGCCGGAGGCUGCCUCUUUCUCGAGCCCUAUGCCUCCGAAUCUCUGGUUCGAUCGCGGUGUUCCCGCGGAAAGGCGGUCCCUUUCGGCGGAAUCAGGUGGGAAGGGGCUGCCGCGGUGAAUGGGUUCGUGUCGGUGAGUUUGUCGGUGAAAGGGAGCGAAGGCCUCGUGCGGGAGUCGGUGGAGUUGUUGGGGAAGGUGGAGGAGAGGAGGUCGGAGGCGCCGGCAUUGGAGGGGGAGGAUGAGAGGAGGUUGGAGACGGUGGCAUCGGAGGGGAUCGUGGAGGAUGGAGUGUUGGUGGUUCUGGGGGAGGAGAAGAAGAACAGGGACAAGAAUGGUAGGUUGCAGGAGGAAAGAACCGGUGUGAUGAACACCACCAAGCAUCUUUGGGCUGGAGCUGUCGCUGCAAUGGUUUCGAGGUAACGAAGAGCAUCAUCUUUAUUGAUUCCUCUUUUCAAUUGAUUUGAGGGAAUGCAUCUUCAUACUUCAAUAAAAUGAUAUUGCUCACGGAUCGUAUGACUUCCAUAGGCUACUCCUUUUUUAUCCCUAAAAAAUGUUCUUUUAUUUGUGGUGAUUAUCCAUAUGUCUCUGUUGUGUUUGGACUUUUUUUUCUAUAGGAAUAACUGAGCUAAACAAUGUAACAUAGCAUAUUUUAACAGGCCAAAAUGAGAAACAUGUUCCUUAUGGAAAGAGCUGUAGCUGACACUUAGUGGUGGUAAAUAAUCUGUAGCCUUUGUAGUUUAAUUCCUAACAAAUUAAUCAUAUUUAAUUCUCAACCAACAAUAGUGUGAUUCAGUUAAAAACCACAUGUGUUUUGUUUACCCCAAGUGGUAUAUGAAUUCCUUUGAAGUAUUUGAAUUUUUAAAUCUCAAAACGUUAAGUGACUUGGAUCACCCUGAGAUUCUUUACAUUAUUGGUUGAUGAAAUUAGUCUUUCGGAAGUUGGGUAUUCAAAUAAGGAUCCUUGAAUUGUGUUUUUCAUUGCAUGAAAAUAGUGUUAUCACAUUUCUAACAUGGCCAGAGGAUUAUGACUUCACCGAGGAUUAACAACUAGUCAACCUACUGGGAGAUACGAUCAAAACUGUUUAGAUAAUUCAUUCGACUUAUGAGUGAGCCAAUCAACAAAGUGGAAUUUGUGAAAGAUUAGUACAAAAAUAUUGAUGUAGCACCCAAUGUUAGGUCCCAUACAAGACAUGACAGUAGGCUCAUAUUGCGCUGAAUGCUUUGACUGAUAUUAGAUGUCAUACAAAGUGGAAUAAUGCAUGGACAACUAAAAGCUUCUUGUUGUAUUUAUGAAAAAGAACUGAAGGUUUUGUUCAACGAAAACUUUGUUGACAAACUGUGCCAAAAAAUACAUUAGUAGGAUUCACUUGCCUGACUUGGAUAUCACAAACCUCACAUCUUAUUGAUGCCUGUUCAAGGAAAGUCAAUUUGCUUCUUGUUGUCCCAUUUCCUCUGCUAAUUUGUUGAGAAUUUUUGUGAAUUUGGUGAUUUCUUGAUUAUAUUUAUGUGAAAAUUGAUAAGCUUUUCUUACCCUACAUGAAGGUUUCAAAUGUUCUUAUAAAAAGAUUAUUAGAAUGUCAACUUGUUUAGAAUCAUCUCAAGAUUUGAGAUUUAACAUAAUAACAAGCAACAUAUUCAGUCUCUAAUAGUAGAAGCCAAUCUAAAUUUGCUUAACUAUUUUUUCCCCCUUAAUCUUGCUUGCUAAUCUCUGAGUAGCAUCAGCUUGUUACAACAUCUCCUGAAAAUGAACUUCUGGUGUAUCAGAACUUUUGUUGCUCCUCUUGAGAGGCUAAAAUUGGAGUAUAUGGUUCGUGGUGAACAGAGCAAUCUAUUUGCCCUCAUUAACAAAAUUGCAGCCACCCAAGGUUUGAAGGGCUUCUGGAAAGGAAACAUGGUCAACAUUCUUCGUACUGCUCCUUUUAAGGCAAUUAACUUCUACGCAUAUGACACAUAUAGAAAGCAGCUACUUGAAUUAUCUGGAAAUGAAGAGACCACAAACUUUGAGAGGUUCGUUGCUGGUGCUGCAGCUGGCAUUACAGCAACUAUUCUUUGCAUACCAAUGGACACAGUAUGUCAUUGAGUUCUUCUUAAAUUUAAAAUAAGUAUCACAAUAUGCUCUGGUUUUCUGGGAGUAAUUGCACCAAGCUUUUGGAGAUAGAAAUCACUUACUAUUCAGUUUCUGAGAAAGUUACAAGAGAUGUGCUUUAUAAGAUCUAAUUCCUCUCCUCUGAUGGUUUUUAGUGCUUUCUCCGUGAUGCCUACUUCUGAUAUCUGAGUUCUGAAUUUUCAGAUUCGAACGAAGAUUGUAGCUCCUGGAGGUGAAGCCUUUGGUGGUGUUAUAGGUGUUUUUCGGCACAUGGUUCAAACAGAAGGAUUCUUUUCUCUUUAUAAGGGACUUGUUCCAUCUCUCAUUAGCAUGGCACCUUCAGGUGCAGUUUUUUAUGGUGUCUAUGAUAUAAUGAAGGCAGCUUAUCUGCAUUCACCGGAAGGGAGGAAGAGGUUGGCUUUAAUGACACAACAGGGUGAAGAAGCGAAUGCAUUGGAUCAACUAGAGCUGGGAUCCACAAGGACAUUGUUGUAUGGGGCCAUCGCUGGUGCUUGUGCUGAAGCUGCCACAUAUCCCUUUGAAGUGGUCAGGCGACAAUUGCAGAUGCAGGUUCGAGCAAACAAAUUGAAUGCUUUGGCAACAUUUAUGAAGAUAGUUGAGCAAGGUGGCAUCCCUGCACUGUAUGCUGGCGUGAUUCCCAGCUUGUUACAGGUACUCGUACUGUGUAUUUUCAGAAUCUUCUCAUUGUUUUCCGUAUCAAUCUGUGAUAAGGUAUUAUUUUCAGAAUCUUCUCAUUGUUUUCCCAGGUUCUGCCAUCUGCUUCCAUUAGCUACUUCGUAUAUGAGAUUAUGAAGAUAUUGCUGAAGGUGGAGUGAGUACUAACUCAAUCGCUCAUCACAAUUUAAAGCAUUUGGGGUGACUAUUUCUUUUUUCCCCCUCUGUCCUCUUCUUUUAUUACUCUUUUUCUCUAAUGGACCAGCAAGAUAUAGUUCACCCUGGAAUCAAAUUGUUUACCCUCCUGUAUUCCAAGGAGGGGCAUUCAGACUCUUUUACAUUCUAUGGAGUACAGCAAUGGCUUUGGUUUCAUAGUAUGUUAAAACCUGUCAAGUUUGUCUUCCCCCUUCCUUUUGAGUUCAUAAUUUGUUCCACAUCUUCAUCUAUCAUCUGCAUGUAUUAGCAAUGACAAUGCUCCUCUGUGGCAUAUGAUGGGUUAAUGAGUGGUUUGCCCACUUGCCCUCAUUUAGCUACAAGCUCUAGUUAAAAUUUUUACACAAGUAUGCAAUUUGGCAAUGACAACUUGUAUCAUGUGGCAUCCAGAAUUCUUGUUCCAAUAACAAGAAUGGACAUAAUAGCUGUUGCACCAAUCACCACUAGCUGUAGGCCCAUAGUGAUCAUAAUGGUUGUUGAUUAAUAUAGCAUCAAAUACUUAAAUCCCUCGGAUGUCAUUGUCAUUAGCAUCCAUUAUGUACCAUAGUGAUCAUAAUGGUUGUUGAUUAAUAAAGCAUUGACCACUAAAUUUCAGACCAUAGUGGCUAUUGAUUAAUGCAGCAUCAAAUACUUAAAUCCCCCAUAUAUCUCGUUGUAUUCUAUGAUUGCUAAUAAGUUAUUAAAAUAUUUAAAAUAGGAAAAAGGCCUAUGAACAAAAACUUAAAUUUAUUGGGACAAGACAUAAUAAGUAGGAAUAUAUGUAAUAUUCAUAAAGGUUAUUAAUGUCAUUAGGAGUUUGGUCAAUGGACAGAGAUUAACCACAAUUAUGCAUAUGCAAUGUGCUGAAGGUAAAUUUAGGUAAGUGAAAACAAAAUUCACUAGUUUUGGAUGAAGAUGUAUGCAAUUUUGCCCCCAAAUACACUGAAGAUUUUCCUAUAAAUUGUUCAAAAUAAUGGAAGUGAACUCAUCUGGCUACUAUGCAAAUGGAUAUAUGCAAAUAAGCCAACAUCUUUCUAACAAUAUUGUUUGAACUUAAACAUUACAGUUAGUUCCCAAAUCUUCAUUUAGGUUCUGCCAGGAACAGAUAAAGAAGACAACAACAUGCACUUUCAUGACUUGUAAGUAUUGCUACAUAUUACAUAAUUGCAAAAUCGAGAACUCCUUUUAGCAACAUCUGUAGACAAUAUAGUUUGAACAUUCCAGAUAAUUCCCAAACCUUUACCAAUUACAUCCCAUUAAGAGUAAUAACAAUUUUGCGAGGAGUUGCAUGAUCCCUAUGUUCACAAAGCCAUAUUCCCUGUAGAAGAACAAGAAGUGUUGAAUUAGGUCCUCUACUGAUCAAAAAGUCGAUAACUAUCUGCUUCGGACAUAGGCACCAUAGAAUGACAAACUCUUCCAUGUUUUGCCUAUACACUCAUGUGCUAUGCUGUAUCAAUGAUCCACAAUACAGAAUGUAUCAUUCAUGAUGCAUCCUUUACUGGUGCUUUAGUAGCGAAUUGGUAAUGAUGUGGCUCUAAUAUGAGUUUCUAGGAUAAGUAGCAACUCCACAGUAAAAGAAAUACAUAUUAGAAACUGUAUCUCACCUGCCAAGUUCCCAUAUUUAAACGACCAUCAGUAAUAGGAAUCCUGGAUGUAGAUGAAGCAGUCUUAGCGGCAUACAACUUUGGAAAAUUGAUGAAAUCAUAAUACAAAAUGAACUGAAAACAUACGUGAGGGCACAACCAAACAUAGAUGAUUUUAUAUGUGCCGGCAUAUCAUCAGGUCCUGCAAAAUGUCAAAUGAAUCGAGAAUUAUUAGAUGCUAAGCAAGCUAUCAAAAAGUCCCCAUCUCUUACUGCCGGAGAAAACCCACUAGUUGGAGUGAUGCCUUGAUCACAAACAAUAAACAUUAGCACUGACCUUACACCAAAAACCAGACCAUCCAAAACUAGCUAGAUUGGAAGUAUCAUUUGGUUAGAUUUGUUCAUAUGGGAGCCCUGUUUGAGUGAGAGAUGAUGUUGUGCAUGAUACUUGACCCAAGAAUGAGAUAACAAAGUUACUUCAGUUGGACAGGCCUUGUUCUCAUCUUUCAUUUUACUUGACUUGGACAUACAUUUACUUCCAUUUUCCAUUGUAGUAAAGGCUCAUGAUCCUACUUGGAAUCACUUAAGAAUGGGUUUCAGACUUUGUCCGACAGGACCUUGAUCCAAGACAAGAGAUCAGGUUUGCUUUCACUAAAGAAGUUAUCUACAUAAAUUCUAAACCAAUUAAAAUAGGCAAAUGUUGCCCAGGUAAUUCUCCCAAGUGCUAGAUCACUCAAGGAAUAGUACAGAUUCUCUCUGCUUCUCUAAAACUGAGAAAACAUUGUUCAAUCAAUGAUCAAUGACCUUGAAGGUUGCUUCCCUUGAAGAACAGCAGAAUCACCUCUUGCCAUCCUAAAACAGACAAAUAAUAUGGCCCAAUUAAUGGCCCUAUGGCUUUUCUUUAAGAAGAGAUAGAGAUCUCUAUAUUAUCAACUAGUCAUAAGGCCUUUUGUCAAUGGACAACUAUCACAGUAAUUAUUCCCCCGAUAGUUUAAUCAACAGUACUUGAAGAGUGGUGAAAAGUAACUCUCCAUUAAUAGCCUUGAUGAGUUCAUUACCAGCAAACGAAAUUUCAGGUUACUAAGUGUUUGAAGGAUUGAGCAAACAAAAUCGAAUAAAAAAGGCUUCACCUCAGAAUGGGCAUUGCGCAUCCCUGAAGAGAAACCAUCAUCGAAACAAGCAAGCAGUAGGUGAGAUAGAAUUAGAAGGGUAAGGGGGUGUUCCAUGCAUUCCUAACCUUCCAGUGUGUGCUUCCAAGGUGCAGAACGUCCCUGAAAACAAUCAUAAAAGCAUCAAUUCACAACAUGCAUGACAACAAUGCGACAGAUUUGAAAGAAUCACUUGAGGAGUCAAUUUUAUACAUCACCUCCGGUACAAUCCGGUUAAGAAAUGUUUCGGUGUCAUCCUGUACAUCUGAGUCGUAGUUCUCGUUAAUGGUGAGAGAAGCACUCGUAUGCUGCACUGUAGAGUGCAGACCAGCUUCUGGUUAAGAGAAACACCAGCAAACUGCUACUAAAAAAAUAGAGAGACAAAUCUACCGAAAGUUUUACUUACAGAAAAGAUGAGCAAGGCCGCAUUUAAAUCCUGAUAAAUCCUGCUCUAUCCCUCUCAAAAUCUGAUAGAACACCGACGGCACACAAUUAACAUGACGGGGUGAUUGAUGCAUAUUUCUGCAUCGAUCGCUCAGACGAAUUUAAUGGGAUGAAGAUGUAAGUCAGUCGAUACUUCCGAUUUCCAUUACAGCGAUCUACCAACGCACUUGUAAUUACUAAAAAUUGUUUCUUUUUUCUCUGAUGUGGUUUCCAUCAAAAACCCCUUUUUACUAAAUUGGCUCAAUCAAACGAGGUCAGGACGAGCCCGAUGCAAUGAUGCUACUGCAAGAAUCGAGAGAGGACGAGGAAGGGGUAUCUCACCUUGGAGGUGAUGAGAUGGCAGCCGCGCCUAUGGGGAGGGAUGACGACGGUCUUCUGUGCCCAUUUGGCGGCCAUGGACUCCGUGGUGGUCGUGGUGGUGCCAAGGGCAGCAGAGGCGGCGACGGGCGGGCCCCUGUGGGAUCUCAAACGGGGGACCGAAGGAGAGGCGCUGCUGAAGCGGGGCUUGACGGAGAAGACAACGGCAGCGGCGGCUUGCAUCGCUUCUCCAAACAGCAGCAGCAGCAAUUGGUGGUGGUGUUGGUAAUUUACGUGUGUAUAUCGUAUAACGAGGGGCAGGCGAAGGGCACAGUAAGAUUAGGGAGGAACGAAGCGGAGUGCAGGGAAGUUAUGGUUCACAUGGCUUUACGAUUCGUGAAAGCCUUUGUUCUACCACACGAUCAAGGACGGAGUUGAUAUCCUCUUUGUAUAUAUAUAUAUAUAUAUAUAUAUAUAUAUAUAUAUNNNNNNNNNNNNNNNNNNNNNNNNNNNNNNNNNNNNNNNNNNNNNNNNNNAUAUAUAUAUAUAUAUAUAUAUAUAUAUAUAUAUAUUGAUGGGGAAGUCAUCGUAACGAGCACUAUUUGGGUCGUCUUCUCGGCAGGAAUGCUGCCGUUCUUGCCGUUACUUCCAAGCGUGGGACCGAAAUGGAGGCCGAGAGCGAUCUUUGGAUCUCUCUUCUUCCGCGGGUGAUCUUUGUUUGCUUCUUUGCCUCCUGUCGCCGCUUCUUUCGUUGCUUCUUUCGAUUGGUCUUCUCGCGCUACUUCCUCUUUCGAGUGUUUGUCCUUCUCCUCCUCGUCCUUCUAGUGCAAGAAACAUCGAUGGGCCCGCCCAAGAUUUCGAUUCCUCUGCGGCCCGACACCCCCCCCCCCUCUCUCGGAUUCCAUUGAAGAACGAAAGAAGGAUGGAUGGGAAGGAACGGAAAUCUUGUUUGUCUCAGACUUCUUGAUUUCAGUAAUUGAUUGUCACUCGUUUGGGACUCGAUGGUUUCUUGGAUUCUUUCUCCGUUGCGACCCUUACCUUUCUUGCGAUGGCCACGUUCUUUUGGCCGUAGAAGCCCCUGUGGCUCUCGUGUUACUUGUUCGACAAGCCUAGGUUUUCAAAGAAUUUAAUUUCCAGUUUUUGGUUCCGUCUUGUCGCUUUUAAUUGCUUACCUUUUGAAAGUGAAUCUUGUCUUCUGACUCACCUUUUAUCACGUUGUGGCAUUCUUCUUGCCAAGUUCGUAUAUUGUGUGUUCCAUAGGAAGGAGUUUAUGCAUUUGCAGAUUGAUUUGGUUUUAAUGAAUUUGCUGAAGAUUUUAGCUGUUCCUGACAUUUUUGAGAUAUUUGUCUAAAUUUGAAUUCGACCAUCUGGAGUAACUUGUUGCAUUGUUGUUUGCUAGUGCACCUUACUGGCCUUCUAUUUCCAGAAAAUUGUUGCAUGGAAACUGAACUCUUAGUCCAUAAAUCAGGAUCAAGUGAAAAUCUUUUAGAACAAGAAUUUGGUUUUGGCACUCACUAGUUAUUGAGACAAUGGCAUCAAGCUCAUGGAAAUCUGAACAUGAAGAAGGCCUAGACAACUCUGGGAUAUCUCAUUAGCAAGCUAUGUAGGUGCAUCAAGGAUGAUAGUUAAGGGCAGAACCGACUAAACAUUUCCAACUGUAGAUUCUAGAAAACACCCGGUCUCCAAUGAAAUGCUAGAGAAGACAAAGGCUAAUUAUAUAUUAUCUUCUGUAGUUAGUUACCUUUAGCAUUCCAGUCCCUACACUUCAAAAAGUUACAUUGACAUCUCUAUAGUUACGAAGUGAAACAUCUAGGUCCAUUUACCAUAAUGACAUCAAUUUUACUAACGGAAACACAUAAACAAAGGGCAAAAAAAUAAUUUUAACGUUUCAGUAAGUUAUGAUGGACGAUGGCACCGUUAGGAUCGCGGGUGACUAUUAUAGAUGAGGAGAGCGACGGCGGGAGGUGAGGGGCCACUCUGCAUCUGUGUCAGCAUUGAUACAGAUGUCGAGCUGCCCUCUCAUCGCUCAGCAAUUGUAUCGACACAGAUGCAAAGCGGCCCUUGCUCAUCAUUGCUCUCUUCAUCCACAACAGUCAUUGGUGAUCUCCAGCGGUGACACCGUUCACCACCACCAAUUGAAAUGUUAAAAUUAUCUCUUUGCCUUUUAUUUUCGUGUUUCGUUGAUAAAUCCGAUAACGUUAGGAUAAAUGGACUUAAAUAUUUCACUUUCGUAACUAUAGGGAUACCAAUGUAACUUUUUUAAAAUGUAGAGAUCGGAUUGCUAAAUGUAACUAAUUACGGGGGGUAAUCUAUAAUUAGCUCAGAAGACAAGCAAAACUAAAAGCACAUAAUUGUUUAGGAGAGUGGAGAACUGUCGAUAGCACAGACAGUCUGAAUUCUAUUGAGAGAAACGAGGGUUUAACAGUGUCAAGGGAGGGAUACAAAUUAUCUGUGGAGAGUUUCAAACUCAACAAGGAUGUUUGGUGAGUUAAGUUUAGUUUGGAAUCAGACUUUCCUAGGGACUCUGAAGGAGUAAAGGAUGCACUUGUUACUCUGCAGCAGUGUUUUGUUGUUUCAGAUGCAUCCAGGCCUUGCUGCCCUAUAGUGUAUGCUAGUACUGGGUUUUUCAGCAUGACAGGAUAUUCAGAAAGGGUUCGUCAGCAACUCCGUGAAUUGUUUUAGCUGACCCUGUAAUUACUGAACAGAUUGUAGGAAGGAAUGCUAUAAUCCAUGAAUACAGAUUAGAUUGUCCAUAACAAAAUUUUUUAUAUAACUCAUUGUAGUAUAUUUCUAUAUACUACAGAUUAGAUUGUCCAUAACAAAAAUACAUUUUGAUCACAACUCUUACUUUCUCCUUUUUCUAUAUUAAGGCUUCUUUAGUCUCUAAACGUCAUUUUUCUUAUUUCUUUACUGUAAGUUUAGCACUUGCAAUUUAAACAUUAAGACUUCUGAAAAGAAAAUCGCUUGUUCGAUGAUUACUUGCACAAUUGCAGGUUAGCCUAGCUGCGAGGCAGUUAAUCCAUGGUCUACUCACCUGAGACCGUGCUAAUUGUUUGAGAUAAAAAACUGGAGCCCAUGAGAUCAAACAACACUCUUUUUCCAUGAUGUUAAUUGGCCUCUUAUUUUUUGCAUGGUAAUCUUUUUAAGUAUUGUAUUGUAUUUCAUGAAGCUUUCUUUUGAAGUAGUAUCCAACCAAUGUUUCAUUUUUCAACAGACUCCACGUUGUCUAGAUGUCCCACUUCAAUUGAUUGGAACUGAACCUGAUUCCAAGCUGAAGGAUAUACAAUGGGAUGACAAACACUCGAUGGAACUCUAGAACCUUCAUGAGGUGAGUACCACCAAACUAACAAAGUUGAACACUUUGACUCAGUCGCUGUCAACUGAUACAUUUAACAAAACAUGCUGAUUUGUCUAUUUGCCUUGCACUCUGAGCCAAAGAUAUACAUCCACUCCAUUGCAUAAGCAUUUGGACAGGUUAAGUAUUUGGUAUUGGAGAUCUGGUCAGAGAAACUGUGGCAAGUCAAAAAUUUAUCAGCAAGUUUCAUGAAACAUUGUUACCUAAAUGAAGAUGCAAGUUACCGCUUGAACUUCCUGCUUCCUGAAAGCUAAGACCACUGUUAAGAUCAUUGCUCCGAUGUGUGAAAUAUGUACAGAUGCAAACAGUAGGUAGAAAAAUGUACACAUCAUCUUUAACUUCCAGUCCGAGCCACACACUGAAAAGGACAAAGUCAACACACAAGGCUCCGGCCGGUGUCUGCAAUCACUGACUCCUCUAUACAAUUAAAUUUCAGAGAACAAAUGAUGAACUCCACACUAAACAUCUCGGUCUUGUAGUUUUGCUUGCUUCUAUCAAUGAUUUUGCAACUUUAGUUUUGAUAGUUGUUACACUGAAAUAUGAGAGGUUAUUGUGCUUAAUUGACUACUUGCAUUUGGGUGAUCUUAACAGAUAGCGAAGGAGACAGGUUUAUGACCUGGAUGAUUUCCCGCAGAUGAUCAAAUAGGUUUAUGACCUGGAUGAUUUCGACGAAAAUACUGGUCAUUGUGUAUAGAUAAAGAAGUGAUAAGUAUAUCAUGAUCAUCGCUGUAGAGAAUUCUGCAUUGAGCUCAGUUAGUGGAUAGCUUCUGGACAGAUCGUUUCGUGAAUUUUUACUUGUUUUAUCAUGGAUUUCAUGCAGCACCUAUAGAACAAGAAGGGCACAAACUAGGGAGUUAAAAAGGCAUAUGGAGGGGCAUGAGGAUGGAACUUGUUGAGUAUUUUUCGUAUCAAAAUAGCAUUGAGGUUCCUAUCUUUGCAAGAAUAUAAUUUUGUAACAUAUUUUGCAUGUACGCCUAUGGUUAUCAGGAGGCAUACACCAACUCGAACAUAGAUAGUAUCGAGCAGAAGUAAAUACCAUCGACUCUUUAUUGGUUUGGUGCUAGGUAAUAUAUUAAUGGUCAAUUAUUAUUUGAUAGAUAAUCAUUAUGUGGAAGUCAUAGUGGAAGGAAAAAAUUUAAGUCGUCCUUUACCUGUUUUCUCGUGUGAAUAAAAGUCCAAGGUCAAUCUUCCGGAUUAUCUACCUCCUGUCAUCCAUGUGGAGAUGUUGGGGUAGUUAUAUAUUGUCCCUUUAAGGCUAAGUAUAAAAACUAAUCUAUGACAAUACGUUGGGGGUUUUCUUUCCAAAAAAAAAAAAAAACCUACACCCACUUAAAGAUCUCAGUCACCAAUUUGAACGUCAAUCGGAUCGAAAAAAAUUUCCCGACAUUGGUCUUAGUAUAGGUAGUGUCUCGAGUGCUCGACACCUCCCCCUCGAAGACACCUUGGAGCCACCUCAGAGCUGCCCAAGCUACCACCUUGAACACUCUUGCACUCUUAGGUUUGAACCACGUCGAGUUGGCUCAAACAUUGACGAUGAUUUCCCAUAAGUCGGGUAAGUCUCCGACCCUGGUGGACUUACCUUGAGAGUAGAUAACUCGGGUCACAAAGUCUAUGCAUGCAUUACCAUCAAAAAGCACCCGAGGUUAAAAAAUAACUUGGAAAUAACCUUCAAGGAAUAAGAGAUGGAGUACCCCAACCCAAACUAUGACGAUGCUUUGGUAGUUUCCAUAAAGAUAAUUAACAUAUAAGUAAAGAGGGUUAUGAUUGACAUAGAUAGCUCUGUUAAUAUCAUCUACUUUGAUGAUUUUUAAAAACUUGGGCUCUCGGCUAACGAUAUCACCCCUAUAACUUUUUCGUUGACGGGGUUCAUUGGCGACUUUAUCUCCCCUCUCAAGACUAUGAGCCUGCAUGUUACGUUUGGGGAUGGGCCCUACUCUAAAAUGGUGAUGACCAAAUUUAUGGUGAUCGACAUCCCUUCAGCAUACAAUGCAAUCAUAGGCCGACCCACACUUAACAGGUUGAGGGCAAUGUUGUUGACCUACCACAUUGUGAUGAAAUUCCCAACAAAGAUUAACAUCGAAGAGCUAAGAAGUAACCCGAGAGAGUUGCGCUAAUGCUUUCUGAUGGUGAUGCCCGGCCUAAGGCACCUUUGGACAAAGGCCCAUCCCGAUUAGGUUGUCUAGGUCGGGGCAACAUUCCCGAGGAGAAGCAAGUGCAACUUAUUAAUUUUCUUUAGGAGAACUCUAAGGUGUUUGCAUGGUCGCUAAGAGACAUGUUGGGAAUCAACCCAGAUAUGACCCAACACUACUUGAACAUCUCUCCCGAGGCUCGACUAGUGAAGCAAAAGUCUUAUAGGUUUAUUCCUUAUCGUCAACAGGUGAUUAGCGAUUAAGUAGAUAAGUUAUUAGGAGUAGGGUUUAUUGCUAAGGUGUAGUACCCCUAGUGGCUUACUAAUGUUGUAUUGGUUAAAAAGUAUAAUGGAGAUUAAAUGAUGCGUAUUGAUUAUACCAAUCUUAAUAAGACAUGUUCGAAGGACGGCUACCCUCUCCCUUGGAUCGAUUAGCUGGUUGAUACUACCUCGAGUUAUAAGUUCUUUACCUUCAUGGGUACAUUCUUGGGAUAUAACUAGAUAAGGAUGGCAUACAUGAUAAAAAACACACCUCUAUUAUCAUAGAUUGAGACACAUAUCAACUGAGUUAUGCCAUAUAGAUUGAAAAAUACGAGAGUGACAUACAAAAGGAUGGUGAAUAAGAUGUUCAAUCACCAAAUCGAGAGGAACAUCAAGGUGCAAAUAGAUGAUAUGAUAGUUAGAAGCAAAACGAUUAACUACAUCUAGUAGACUUGGUCGAGAUAUUUCAAGUUCUAAAGAAGUUCAAUAUGCACCUUAGACCAUCCAUAUGUGCUUUUGGAGUUAGCUCGGGAAAAUUCCUCAGAUUCAUUGUUCACCAUAGAGCAAUACAUAGAAACCUUGAGAAGAUACGAGACAUAUUGUAGAUGCGCUCACUUCGGUUGGUAAAGAAAGUACAAUAGUUAACAAGGCUAAUAAUGAUGAUUCCUAUCCGAAUCCAAUGAUAAGUGCCUCCUCUUCUUAUGGGCAUUGAAAAACACAAAGUGUUUCUUGUGGAUCGAGGAGUGUCGGGAGGCAUUUAGUGAGCUGAAGCACUACUUCGCUUAGUUGCUAGUCCUCAUUCAUCUUUCAGACUACCACAAAGGAAGAGAGUAUGUCCUUUAGUCGAAACACUUAACCCUCCUCUUUAUCCGAGAGGAAGAAAAGGGUCUUGUCACUAUAAUGUGCUAACCAGGCAAGGUUGAAUCCCUAGUCUCAACUUGAAUUCAUCAGAAAGAAGCGCUCAUUCCAACCUUUGUGGUUGGAAAGGGCACCAUUGAUCUUGAAGCCUCCCCAAGCAGCUAGGAAGUAGUCAUUUCUCUCCUUACACAACCGAAAACAAGUGACCAAAAGAGUAAGGUUCGGAUAGGAAGAGAAGGGUGUUGUCACUAUAAUGUGCUAAUAAGGUAAUGUUAAAUCCCUAGUCUCAACUUGAAUUCAUGAAAAAGAAAUGCUCAUUCCAUUUGUGAUCGGAAGGGGCACCACUAGCACAUUGGAAAACAAGUGACCAAAAGGAUGAAGUUCAAAAUAAUACUAGCACGUCAGUAUUCUCCCACAAAUACUAUUAAGUAGCAUUAUGAGUUGGACAUCAUUUGACGAAGGACUCAAAAUCCAUCACGAUAAAAAAAUAAUUUAAAGCUCACCACAACAAGAGAGGAUCUAAAAUCAGUUACGAUGAAAAAACUUGAAGCCCACGAAAGGGAGAGAACCAUGACAAAGAAAGAACUUAAGCCUGCCUUCAAAAUCCAUCGAUGAUGAUUUCUCCUUGGUAAUAAUUUUUUUUAUAACUUUUUAGAAAAAAUACUAAAGAAUACCUCACAAGUGUCACAAACAUAAAUAAAAAGAAGGAAAAAUAUGGAAAGACAACAGUCAUUUUACAACAGCAGCACAUGUAACACUUUCUUUGUUCGACAUACUGUGGAGGCAUCACUAGUGAUGCAACUUUCUCUGGCGCAGCUCCACAAAACACAAAUCACCAUCAGCAGCUCACGAGGCAAAUUAAAAUUGCACCAGCGGCGCGUCCAUGAGAUUGGUAGAUGUUCACACCCUGCUAAUUUUACAAAAUCACAAAAAAAUAUUUGACCGCUGAUGAAUUAUUUGGUACUUCUUUUUGUAAUCUUACAUUAAUACAAUGAGUAUCCAGAGGACUAAUAUCAGUAGCACAUCCAUGCGGAGAAUCACUCCGGCAGGCUGCUAUCAUCUUCAGCAUUGUCAGGUGCAGGAAUCUUCCGAAAAAAUUCCUCCUCCGGAUACAUGGUGGUAAAUAACUGCCACAUAUAGUAUACAGAACCAGAAUCUAGUCAGGAUUAUGACAAAAAUAAUCAAAGAUGAAUGAUGGUAAUUAGCGCGGCCAGAAUUUUCUUUUUCACUAUUUAAUUUGUCAAAAAAACAGAAGAGUCUUGAGAUAGUUUUAUGUUGAGAAUUUACUCUCUCAUCUAAAAUUUAUCCCAAAAUAAGUGGUCAUUUUGGAAAGAAAAUAGUGUGUCCAUUGGGUUAAUUCACUUGUACUUGACAUAUCAGCCAAACAACAAACCUUCCUUUUGUGUUCUUUAUUUCUCUUUUAUUUUCUUUUCAUUUCUAUAAGCAAUAAUUUUCAUUUUCUUCCACUUUCUUUGGACCCAAAACAGAGGCAGACAUGUUGUGCUUAAGAGUCACUGGGAGCUCAAAAUAUGCAUUUUCUAGUAGAUAAAGUCCAGGAUUGAUGGAAGCCAAUAACCUGAGGUUAAAUCAUGCAAGUUGGCAGCAAAAGUGCCAAAUGAUUGAAAAUUGGGUCAAAAUGACCUUCAAUUAUUUUUUUACUUCAGGUGUUUGAGAAUCUAGUACACUAGGUCAAAAUGGUGUGAUUAGUAGUGCCAGAUUGUUCUCACCACAAGAUGAUAACCUAAGAUGCAAGAAGUUAAUUACUGAAACAAAUUGCUUAGAUAC